GACGAACGCUGGCGGCGUGCCUAAUACAUGCAAGUAGAACGCUGAAGGAGGAGCUUGCUUCUCUGGAUGAGUUGCGAACGGUUGAGUAACGCGUAGUUAACCUGCCUGGUAGCGGGGGAUAACUAUUGGAAACGAUAGCUAAUACCGCAUAAUAGUAGAUGUUGCAUGACAUUUGCUUAAAAGUUGCAAUUGCAUCACUACCAGAUGGACCUGCGUUGUAUUAGCUAGUUGGUGGGGUAACGGCUCACCAAGGCGACGAUACAUAGCCGACCUGAGAGGGUGAUCGGCCACACUGGGACUGAGACACGGCCCAGACUCCUACGGGAGGGAGCAGUAGGGACUAUUCGGCAAUGGACGGAAGUCUGAACGAGCAACGCCGCGUGAGUGAAGAAGGUUUUCGGAUCGUAAAGCUCUGUUGUAAGAGAAGAACGAGUGUGAGAGUGGAAAGUUCACACUGUGACGGUAUCUUACCAGAAAGGGACGGCUAACUACGUG
RNAcentral lists this ribosomal RNA (495 nucleotides) under uncultured bacterium. Its description in RNAcentral is "partial 16S ribosomal RNA". It matches the Rfam family "Bacterial small subunit ribosomal RNA", at positions 28 to 507 of the family's 1533-position model. The record is from RNAcentral.